GGGGCUGUAGCUCAGCUGGCCAGAGCGCGACAAUCGCAAUGUCGAGGCCACCGGUUCAAAUCCGGUCAGCUCCACCA
RNAcentral lists this transfer RNA (77 nucleotides) under candidate division WWE3 bacterium. Its description in RNAcentral is "tRNA-Ala". It matches the Rfam family "tRNA". Rfam says of the family: Transfer RNA (tRNA) molecules are approximately 80 nucleotides in length. Their secondary structure includes four short double-helical elements and three loops (D, anti-codon, and T loops). The record is from RNAcentral. Lineage: Bacteria; candidate division WWE3.